This 391-nucleotide unclassified non-coding RNA is filed under the name soil metagenome. RNAcentral's name for it is "partial contains 5.8S ribosomal RNA, internal transcribed spacer 2, and large subunit ribosomal RNA". The stretch from base 1 to 122 matches the Rfam family "5.8S ribosomal RNA", at positions 35 to 154 of the family's 154-position model. The record is from RNAcentral.
GAUGAAGAACGCAGCGAAAUGCGAUACUUGGUGUGAAUUGCAGAAUCCCGUGAACCGUCGAGUCUUUGAACGCAAGUUGCGCCCGAAGCCAUUAGGCCGAGGGCACGCCUGCCUGGGUGUCACACGUCGUUGCCCCCCCAUCUACUCCUUCGGGAUUGCGGGGGGCGGAUGAUGGCCUCCCGUGCGCCUCGUCGCGCGGUUGGCAUAAAUGCCAAGUCCUCGGCGACGCACGCCACGACAAUCGGUGGUUGCGAAACCUCGGUUGCCCGUCGUGUGCGGUCGUCGCGCAUCGAGGGCUCGAAAAAAUUGCCGGGCUCCGGCUCGGCUUUCAACGCGACCCCAGGUCAGGCGGGGUUACCCGCUGAAUUUAAGCAUAUCAAUAAGCGGAGGA